Molecule: ribozyme, 66 nt
Filed under: Aedes aegypti (yellow fever mosquito)
Lineage: Eukaryota; Metazoa; Arthropoda; Insecta; Diptera; Culicidae
Description: drz-agam-1 ribozyme
Rfam family: drz-agam-1 ribozyme
Source: Rfam by way of RNAcentral
UGCCCAUCAACUCCUAUCCCUACCUCCUCGUGGUACUGGCAGGGGUACGAGCAACCUUAGGGAAGA